This 4008-nucleotide long non-coding RNA is filed under the name Homo sapiens (human). RNAcentral's name for it is "HSALNT0324572". Lineage: Eukaryota; Metazoa; Chordata; Mammalia; Primates; Hominidae. The record is from RNAcentral.
GGCAACCGGCUAGGGUCCUCUUCCAGAUUGUGGAAGAUUUGUUCUUUUGCCUUUGGCAAUAAAUCCUGCUGCUGCUCACUCUUUGGGUCUGCACCGUCUUUGGCGGCUGCUGCUCACUCUUUGGGUCUGCGCUAUCUUUAUGAGCUGUAACACCGUGAAGGUCUGCACCUUCAUUCCUGAAGCCAGUUAGACCACAAACCCACCAGAAGGAAGAAACUCUGGACCCAUCUGAACAUCUGAAUGAACAAACUCUGGACACACCAUCUUUAGGAACUGUAACACUCACCGCAAGGGUCCGUGGCUUCAUUCUUGAAGUCAGUUAGACCAAGAACCCACCAAUUCCGGACACAAUACUAUUGGAUGUAUGUUUGUUUGGUGUUUUCUUUGAAGACAGAAUCAGAGAGGCUCAGCAAAUGCCAGAACUCAAAUUCAAGCGCAACUCUGCCUGAUGGAAACUCAGGUGAUUUCCACUCUGCCUCCACCUGCAUUCCUCAGCACCCUGCAGUUGGUCCCCAGACUCUAUGCUCCAUGCUGCUUGUGUUUGUUGGUUGGCUGGUUUCGUGUUCAUGUGUUCUGGCUUCUUCAUUUUGGGUCUUUACAUCUUUACAUCUCUAUAGCAGUUCUUCCCAUGUUGUGUAGCAGUUGUCUCUACGUGACAGUCUGUCUUGUGAGGUCGAGUUCCCUGAAGGCAGCAAGCAUGUAAUUGGUAAAUUCUCAUCAGUUAGCCAUGUCUGGAACAUGGUAGGUAUUCAAUAAAGGUUUUUGCUCAUUUAAUCGACUGUUCAUUAGCAUUUACUGAACCUCUACUGUGUGUCCAACACCGUAGCAGGCACUGAGGAUGGAGCGGUGGAGAAAAACAGGCAACACACUCUGCACUCCAUCUAGUGUGCAGAAAACAUGCAAAUAGUCAUAUACACCAAAACACUUCACACAACACAGACACUGCUGUAACAUGCAAAUAGUCACAUAAAACACUUCACACAGCAGACUGACACACUGCUGUAACAUGCAAAUAGUCAUAUACACACGAAAACACUUCACACAGCACACUGACACACUGCUGUAACAUGCAAGUAGUCAUAUACACAAAAACACUUCACACAGCACACCGACACACGGCUAUGUCAGAAAGGCGUGCAGUACUCUGUGAGUGUAGGAUGGUGUCGAGACUCAGGAAAGAGUUGUGCAGAAAAGGGUAUGUGAGUGAGGGGUCAAGGCCGAGCAUCUAGGUGGAAAGUCCCGGCAGAGGGAGCCGUGCAAGCAUCCCCUCAGGCAGCAGGGACGUGGCACGACUGGGGGACCGGUGGCCCGAGGGCAGAGGCAGAGCCGGGAGUGUGCGAGGUGAGCAUGGAGAGGAAGCCACUGCACCCCAGAAAAAGGCACUCCUCCCACGAACAGGAGAGUCCACAGAGAUUUCUGCAAAGGGAGAAGCCAUGAGUGCUCGUUCAGUGCCUACAGUGUUUGGGGCAGCUGUGCAUUUUCUUCACAAAUUCAUUCUUUAAGAAACACUGCUCCAUGCGUUAUACGAGACAGAAAAUCCCGGUUAAUACUAACAGAUCCUUAGCUCGGGAUUGUCCGGAGCAGGCACGCUGUCGGCAGGGGCUGCUCUGGGGUCUGUGGUGUCAGGGGCUCCCCAGAAGCUGCAGCGCAGAAAUGGGGGAGGCUGAGAGCGACUCAGGCCUCUCUGCAAAUGAAGCUGAGGGGAGAUACCUUUCCGAUCAUGCUGGUGAUGAAACUCGCAGACACAAGUGACUAACCAAUUGAUAAGUAUUGCUCACUACUCGCAGAAAAUAUAGAUUUUUUUCUUAAAAAUCAUAGACAAAACACAGUUAAAUAAUUUAAUGGUUAUACCUUUCCUGACAUACUAUGUAACCUUGGCUUAUAUGCCUGGCUUAGAGAUGUUUUCCAAAGUUGUGGUGUAAUAAAAACAUUUAAAUAGUGAGUAUUCCGGUGGUAUUUUUGAAAUGGCAGUUACCAGCAAAUAAACGUCUGUUUGGACGUGGUAACAGGGAAACUACUCUGCAUCCGUUCACCCCUCUCAACAGUUGAUUCUCCUGCAGCACAGAAGACUUUCUUUAUUUAUGAAGCAAACGUCUUCUUCACUCCCAGGACUUCACCACUGGUAGGCCACCCUAGCCUGCCUCUAAUCAUCACUUCAUCGUCUUUCACAACCUGCAUUUUCCCUGCCCCUGAUUUCUCAUUCUGUUAUUGACCUCUUGCACAUUCCCCCUCUGGUGUGAAUUACUUUUGCCGACUAAACUCAGGCAUGGUACCAAAACUAUAAUUUGAGCUCACCCCCAUGGUCGCAACCUCAGGCUGAUCGCAUGACCUAAUCUCAGCAGAAUCCUCCCAGCUCAGGGACCGCACUCUCAGACGGCAAGGCCAGUGAUCCCUCAAAUUCAUCCCACGCAGGUGAAGACAGCUCUUCCCUCAGAAGACGCAGGUUGCAGCUAGCUUGAGGAGAGAUCAAUUCUUCCCAUGCAAAGGCACGAAUAUCCUGUGGCUAAAGUGUAUUGGAAUUUCCCUCUGAUUAAGUAUGUUUAUAAUUCCAUCUGCAAAAACCAGCAGUAAGCUGAACUGGAAAGCAUUACCUGAGAUUAUAUUUCCAUUUUGCCCCAUUAAAAAAGACUAGAAUUUAAUUUUAUCUCAGCACAGAUGCUUAAAUCGAAUGCGUACUUCCUUAGGAAUGAAGAAAUAGCAAUGUAUGUAAGGAUAAGUAAGUCAGAAUGAGAGAAAAAAACAGUUUUUAAAAAAAGUACAGGUGACUAAAGCAGCAUAGGGCUAAGUAGGUUUAAAGGAUGAAGACAUUAAUAAAGAGCUUCCUGCAGGGUUAUCAACAGAAAUACUUUUUCAUAGAAAUUAGUGGGGUUUACACACUGCAUGUUCUCAGUUAUAGGUGGGAGCUCCAAGCUAUGCAUUGAGCACACAUGGACGUACACAUGGGAACAACAGGCGCUGUGGACUGCGCGGGGCAAAGAAGGGAGGGGCAUGCAUUGAAAAACUAGCCAGGGGUACGAUACUCACUAGCUGGGUGUAAUACACCCAUGUAACACACCUGCAUGUGAACCCCCAUAUCUAAAAUAAGAGCUGAAACUUUCAAAGAGGAGCAGUUACUUUGACUGACUUUUAUUAGUAGUUGUAACUCUUUUCUUUUCCUGGAAACCUGAGUCCUAAAUUGGAAGGUAGUAGCCACAGGGUACCGUAGUUCAGACAGUUUUUGAAGAUAAGCAAUUAAAAUAGAUCAGGGAAUGGCUCCUUUUCAAACUUGUGAGCUAAGAAUCCAGAAAGCAGGUUGUUCCAAGACGAUGCUGUGAAAGAAAAAAUUGGCCUUUCACUGGGGACAGGGUUCUUUCCAACCUUAUGUCUGGCUCUUGUACUUUCUCUUUCAUCUCCUUUGUGACCCCAUGGACUCUCAAAUUGAAAUGAAUUAAAUUUAUUCACAUUAAGGCAUUAAACUACUAAUGGCUUCAUGUGUUCUGUCUUCCACUGGUGUUUGUAUUUGAUAGAAAAUAAUGCCCUAAAAAAUGAAUGGUUUAGGGAAGCUAAUGGAAGAGAUGAAGGCUGGAAGGGGCAGGUUCUCAAUCACAUGACGUUCAGCGUGCUCAGCUACAUAAUCAGCUCAGAAAGGAGCCUGAACAUUGAUUCUCAAAGUGUGGGCCAAAGUCCCCUGGGACAUCCUGAGACUUUUUCAGUGGCAACAGGAGGCCAAAAUGACUUUUAUAAUAAUACUAAGAUGUUAUUCGCCAUUUUUACCCUCAUUCUCUCACAAAUAUACAUGAAAUUUUCCAGAAGAUUCAUGAUAGGUGACUUCAUAACAGAUUAAAUGCAGAAACAGAAUAGUAGAGUUAUCUUUUAUUAAGCUACACAUUAAGGAGAUUUGCAAAAAUGUAAAACAAUUUCUCUCUUCUCAACACAUUUAUUUGGUUUUAAAAUAAAUGUGAUUAAUAUACGAUUAAAAUAAAUUACAAAAUUAAAUAUAAUUUUAGAACUAAAUAAAUUAAAAUAAAA